RNAcentral lists this ribosomal RNA (467 nucleotides) under uncultured bacterium. RNAcentral's name for it is "partial 16S ribosomal RNA". It matches the Rfam family "Bacterial small subunit ribosomal RNA", at positions 28 to 507 of the family's 1533-position model. The record is from RNAcentral.
GACGAACGCUGGCGGCGUGCUUAACACAUGCAAGUCGAACGGAAAGGCCUCUUUCGGGGGGUACUCGAGUGGCGAACGGGUGAGUAACACGUGAGUAACCUGCCCUUGACUUUGGGAUAACUUCAGGAAACUGGGGCUAAUACCGGAUAGGAGCUCCUGCUGCAUGGUGGGGGUUGGAAAGUUUCGGCGGUUGGGGAUGGACUCGCGGCUUAUCAGCUUGUUGGUGGGGUAGUGGCUUACCAAGGCUUUGACGGGUAGCCGGCCUGAGAGGGUGACCGGCCACAUUGGGACUGAGAUACGGCCCAGACUCCUACGGGGGGCAGAAGUGGGGAAUAUUGCCCCAUGGGUGGAAGCCUGAUGCAGCAACGCCGUGUGCGGGAUGACGGCCUUCGGGUUGUAAACCGCUUUCGCUCAUGACGAAGCUUUGUGUGACGGUAGUGGGUAAAGAAGCACCGGCUAACUACGUG